This is a ribosomal RNA of 437 nucleotides. It matches the Rfam family "Bacterial small subunit ribosomal RNA", at positions 341 to 792 of the family's 1533-position model.
ACGGGAGGCAGCAGUGGGGGAUAUUGCACAAUGGGGGAAACCCUGAUGCAGCGACGCCGCGUGAAGGAAGAAGGUUUUCGGAUUGUAAACUUCUUUUAUCAGGGACGAAGAAAGUGACGGUACCUGAUGAAUAAGCCACGACUAACUACGUGCCAGCAGCCGCGGUAAUACGUAGGUGGCAAGCGUUAUCCGGAUUUACUGGGUGUAAAGGGCGCGUAGGCGGGGAUGCAAGUCAGGUGUGAAAUCUAUGGGCUUAACCCAUAAACUGCAUUUGAAACUGUAUCUCUUGAGUGUCGGAGAGGUAGACGGAAUUCCUAGUGUAGCGGUGAAAUGCGUAGAUAUUAGGAGGAACACCAGUGGCGAAGGCGGUCUACUGGACGAUAACUGACGCUGAGGCGCGAAAGCGUGGGGAGCAAACAGGAUUAGAUACCCUGGUA